Molecule: long non-coding RNA, 1664 nt
Organism: Mustela lutreola (European mink)
Lineage: Eukaryota; Metazoa; Chordata; Mammalia; Carnivora; Mustelidae
Exons: 2
Source: RefSeq, a predicted model, not a curated record
CAAGAGGUGGCAGAGCAGCUGGAGUGCAGGGGAGCUGCCCCACAGAGCGUCCACAAGAGGAGAGGGGCGCAGACGCGCGGGAGAGGCAGGAGCUGGGCAAGUAGAGGUGAUCAAAGCAGAAAGGGGAAAAAGAAAAGACAAAAAGCCUGGGAAAAGGUAAGGAUGCAGAUUUGCCCAGGGACUUGACUGAGCCCUAGUUACCCCUAGCCUCAGGUCCCUGAAGGACACAAGGAGAAAAACAAAACCACAAAACUUCAGUAAGAGUAAUGGCAUUUUAUCAUGUCAGUGCCCACCCUUCACGGCGAUGCCUCUCACACACAGGCCCGGAAGAGGUCUGGUUGGUGCUGGAAACUCACAGGUGGGUCCGGACGCUCCUGAGAAAGAGCCCAGGGCAGAGUUCACAGAGUUCACACCUGUGUGUCAGCCCUUGAGGUCCACGGCACCAGGCUGGCACUGGGGUCUACUGGUGGUCCUCUGCCUGAGGCACCUUCCACACUGUGGACAGGAAUAAGACAGCUCACCUGUGUGAGUCAGCAGGUAGCAUGAGAGGUACUAGCUGUGGCAGAAACAGGUGCCACACUAGGCACGGACAAAGGCUUGUCUCCAGAAUGCACUGAGUCAGGUGAAAGGUCAUGGCAGAGUGUGCCUGCUCUCGGGCAGGUGCUGUGUGAGUACAAGUCAGUGAGGCUGGGUCUACAGUUGGGGCUUGGGAAAGGCCUGUCCACCUGGAUGCUUUGACCCCAGGCUCAGACACUAAGCUAGUGUCCCUGGAGGCUCACGACAACUCCCCAAUAGACUCCUUCUGCUGGUUUCUUCCAAAUACAUCACUUUUUCUGAGUGGCCCUUUGAAACACAGGAGAUUCAAAAUUUAAUUUUGGUCCAGUUCAGUCAAAUUCAACUAAAUGUUCAGGUGACAGAAUCAACUUUCACAAGUGCAGAUGGGUGCUUAGCCCCUGGAAGCACCCACCUAGAUUAUGUUGACCAAUUGAGGGGGUCACAGGAAGUCAAGGACAUUCCCACUUCAGGACCAACCCAAAGAGAUACCCUCAACCAGAGGAACAGCUGUUACAAUGCACAGCCACUUAGAGACAGAAAGGUGAACUGCUUCCAAAGUAAACUUUAAUUCAUACACUGCCACUGACCUAGAGAUUGGAUAAUCUGUGUAGUGUGACCUGACCUUGGGAAUCCUGGAUGCCUCAGUCAAUUAGUGAAAAGGAGAAGGCCAAGAUUCUAGUCUCCAGUGGGUAUCAUAAAUUCAAGGCAGCAGAACACAGUAAGGGACAUACAGAUGGUCUUUCUUUUUCUUUUGUUCUUUUCUCUCUCUUUUUUAAAGAUUUUACUUAUUUAUUUGACAGACAGAGAUCACAAGUAGGCAGAGAUGCAGGCAGAGAGAGGAAGGGAAGCAGGCACCCUGCAGAGCAGAGAGAUGUGGGGCUUGAUCCCAGGACCCUGAGAUCAUGAAUGAGCCGAAGGCAGAGGUUUUAGCCCACUGAACCACCCAGGUGCCUCUCUCUUUCUUUCUUAAGAUUUUAUUUGUUUAUGUGAGAGAGAGAGAGAGAGAGAGAGAGCGCAUGAGCGGAGGGUGAGGGGAGAAGCAGAUGGAGAGAGAGAACCAGACUCUCCCCCACUCUAAGCAGGGAGCCCAAUGCGGGGCUCAAUCCCAG